Molecule: long non-coding RNA, 1520 nt
Organism: Mesocricetus auratus (golden hamster)
Lineage: Eukaryota; Metazoa; Chordata; Mammalia; Rodentia; Cricetidae
Exons: 4
Source: RefSeq, a predicted model, not a curated record
CUAGCAAGAUCACGUCCUGCCUCAGCAGCCCUGGCUCACACACUUGCUCCUCUCUCAGAGACCUCCCCAUGCGGGGUGUGACAAACACAAGAAGGAACAUGACUGUUGUCCUCACAGCAUUCCUCCUUCUCCUUCCUGGGACUCUUGCUCAAGGGAAGGACAAGUCCCAGCAUAGACAGGCUAUCCUGAGCACUGAGGGUCACAACUGAGGUUCCAGAAAGUGCUCGUGGUAUGUGUGUCUCCUCGAAAAGGUCCGAAGCCCAUUCAGCUCCUUCUGGCUCUGUGCAGAACCAGAGUCCCAUCUUUUCGUCUCGCUUGGUGGCUGCGGGUCUUAGGGAGGUAGUGUUUGGCUGCCCAGGACAUGACCUGUCAAUCCUGCCUAAGGAUAAGAAGAGAGCUCCAUUAGAAGACUGAAGAAGGCCUUCCAGGUUUGUACAAGUGAAUGAAGGUGCCCCUGGAGGCCAGAGGUGUUGGACAUCCCUGGAGCUGGAGUUACAGGUAGUUGUGAGACGUCUGAUAUGGGAGCUGGGACUCGAACUCUUGUCCUCCUUCAGAGCAGUGAGUGUUCUUAACCACUGAGUCAUCUCUCCAGCCCUGAACUCACUUUUAACACGCGGGAAUAAAGCAGAAGGGAUGGAAUGCGACUUACAAGACUGGGUUAUAUAAAGUGUGGGUUUCUCCUGGCUCUGGAUAAAGCAGCUGCCCUGUUGUGACAUCACCUCAGCAGUCAUGUGUUGAGGAACUGCGACUUCCUGUCCACACCCUUGUGAGUGUGUCACUUGGAGAAUCUUCUUGGCCUGGGCUAGCCUUUAGAUGCCUGUAGCCCUGGCAACAUCUUUACUGUGACCUCAAGAGAGGACUUGAGUGAAUUCUACUCAGCUAAUGUUUUCUCCCAACCUUGUGACUUCUAUAAACCAGGAAAUAGUGAAUUUUGUCAUGUUAAACCCAGUGAGUUUGGGGUAGUUUGUUACAUGGCAAUAGGUGACCAGUGCACCCCUGAACCCUCUUGACAUUUUGAGGGAAGAAUUUUGUCAUCUUUCAUUUCUGUUCGGGGUAGGACCGAAGCCCAUGGUCAUUCUCUCAGUGGCUAGAGUGCUUGCCCUGUGAGUGUGAGGAGCUGGGCUCAGAUCUCCGGCACUCAGGCAAAAGGCUGGGUGUGAGGUGCACGCCAGCAAUCCCAACGGCAUGGAGGCAGAAGCAGGCAGACCUCUGGGGCUUGCUAGCCUGCAAGUCUAGCCAAACCAGGUAGCUCCAAGUUCAGUGAGAGAUCUUUUCUCAAAAAAAAUAAGGUGCGGUUUUGAUCUUUUGCCAGUCUUACACACAUUGUCACACAGCUGUGAGUCCAUAUUUGGAAUUGCCCUGUUGUGUCUAGAAAGCACUAUUUUGUUAUGGUCAUUUACUGCCUCUGGCUCUUAAAAAUCUUUUUGCCUGUUUUUCCACAGUAACCAACAGAAUUUGGGAAGUUCAAAUUGAAUUUGAUGAUCUUAAGAAAAUAAAUGAGUUGAUUGGUGUUACUGCAA